UUGGCAUGAUCAUGACCAUUGAUGAAUACACGAAUAUACUUGGCCCGUAGUGCAUGGAUAAUUUGUGGUCGUGAUACUAAUGAAUAUCCUUGGCCGUAAUGCAGGGAUGAUGUGGAUUAUUUAUUAAGCUGAGUCCCAGCGAUAAAAGUGAUGAAAAACCUUUUAAAUCAUAAAAGAUAGUAGAUUUUAUUCUCUACUUGACUCUUUU
RNAcentral lists this long non-coding RNA (208 nucleotides) under Panax ginseng (ginseng). RNAcentral describes it as "long non-coding RNA (PGIN_LNC008682)". Lineage: Eukaryota; Viridiplantae; Streptophyta; Magnoliopsida; Apiales; Araliaceae. The record is from RNAcentral.